Molecule: ribosomal RNA, 500 nt
Filed under: uncultured bacterium
Lineage: Bacteria
Description: partial 16S ribosomal RNA
Rfam family: Bacterial small subunit ribosomal RNA
Source: RNAcentral
GACGAACGCUGGCGGCGUGCUUAACACAUGCAAGUCGAACGGGCCUGUCUUCUUUUUUGGGGGGUGGGUUGAGUGGCGAACGGGUGAGUAUCACGUGAGUAACCUGCCCUUCGGUCCUGGAUAACCGCUUGAAAGGGCGGCUAAUACGGGGUGGUCCGGUUGGUCCGCAUGGGCUGGUCGGGAUAGAUUCACUGUUUUUGGUGUUUCGGCGGGGGAUGGGCUCGCGGCCUUUCAGCUUGUUGGUGGGGUGAUGGCCUACCAAGGCGGGGACGGGUAGCCGGCCUGAGAGGGUGGGCGGCCACACUGGGACUGAGAUACGGCCCAGACUCCUGCGGGAGGCAGCAGUGGGGGGUAUUGCACAAUGGGCGGAAGCCUGAUGCAGCGACGUCGCGUGAGGGAUGGAGGCCUUCGGGUUGUGAACCUCUGUUUCCGGUGGUGAAGGCCCUGUCCGUGUGGUGGGGUUGACGGUAGCCGGGGAUGAAGCGCCGGCUAACUACGUG